Molecule: transfer RNA, 67 nt
Filed under: bovine gut metagenome
Rfam family: tRNA
About the family: Transfer RNA (tRNA) molecules are approximately 80 nucleotides in length. Their secondary structure includes four short double-helical elements and three loops (D, anti-codon, and T loops).
Source: RNAcentral
UUAGAUAGCUCAGUCGGUAGAGCACAGGACUGAAAAUCCUGGUGUCGGUGGUUCAAUCCCACCUCUG